CCGCUGCUGCUGAGGCGGCGGUGUCGGCAGUCCGACCCCGACCGCCUGCACCCCCUCCGCGAGGGUCCCCCGGAGCUUGGACGCUCCAAGUCUGGCUGUAGCCAUGGGAGACAUGGUAGUGGAGCCUGCUACCCUGAAGCCAACUUCUGAGUCUACUCCUAGCCCAUCAGGGAAUAACGGGGGCUCCUUGCUAAGCGUCAUCACAGAGGGGGUCGGGGAACUGUCAGUGAUUGACCCUGAGGUGGCCCAGAAGGCCUGCCAGGAGGUGCUGGAAAAAGUCAAGCUUUUGCGUGGAAGUGUAGCUGUCUCUAGCAAAGGGACCCCGCUGGAGCUGGUGAAUGGGGAUGGUGUGGACAAUGAGAUACGUUGCCUAGAUGAUCCACCUGCCCAGAUCAGGGAAGAAGAAGAUGAGUUGGGGGCCACUGUGGCCUCUGGCACAGCCAAAGGAGCAAGAAGACGACGACAGAACAACUCAGCCAAACAGUCUUGGCUCCUGAGACUGUUUGAGUCAAAACUAUUUGACAUCUCUAUGGCCAUUUCAUACUUGUAUAACUCCAAGGAGCCUGGAGUGCAAGCCUACAUUGGCAACCGCCUCUUCUGCUUCCGCAAUGAGGAUGUGGACUUCUAUUUGCCCCAGUUGCUUAACAUGUAUAUUCACAUGGAUGAGGAUGUGGGCGAUGCCAUUAAACCCUACAUAGUCCACCGAUGUCGGCAGAGCAUCAACUUUUCUCUGCAGUGUGCCCUGUUGCUUGGGGCCUACUCUUCAGACAUGCACAUUUCCACUCAGCGACACUCCCGAGGGACCAAGUUACGGAAGCUGAUCCUCUCAGAUGAGCUGAAACCAGCUCACCGAAAGAGGGAACUGCCAUCUUUGAGCCCAGCCCCUGACACAGGGCUGUCUCCCUCUAAAAGGACUCACCAGCGCUCUAAGUCAGAUGCUACAGCCAGCAUAAGUCUCAGCAGCAACCUGAAGCGAACAGCCAGCAACCCUAAAGUGGAGAAUGAGGAUGAGGAGCUCUCCUCCAGCACCGAGAGUGUUGAUAAUUCAUUCAGUUCCCCUGUCCGGCUGGCCCCUGAACGAGAAUUCAUCAAAUCCUUGAUGGCGAUCGGCAAACGGCUGGCCACACUCCCCACUAAAGAGCAGAAAACACAAAGGCUGAUCUCAGAGCUCUCUCUGCUGAACCACAAACUCCCUGCCCGAGUCUGGCUGCCCACUGCUGGCUUUGACCACCACGUGGUCCGUGUGCCCCAUACACAAGCUGUUGUCCUCAAUUCCAAGGACAAGGCUCCCUACCUGAUCUACGUGGAAGUUCUUGAAUGUGAAAACUUCGACACAACUAGUGUUCCUGCUCGGAUUCCUGAGAACCGAAUUCGGAGCACACGAUCUGUAGAGAACCUGCCUGAAUGUGGUAUCACUCAUGAGCAGCGAGCCGGCAGCUUCAGCACGGUGCCCAAUUAUGACAAUGAUGACGAAGCCUGGUCGGUGGAUGAUAUAGGCGAGCUACAGGUGGAGCUCCCUGAAGUCCACACCAACAGCUGUGACAACAUCUCCCAGUUCUCUGUGGACAGCAUCACCAGCCAGGAGAGCAAGGAGCCUGUGUUCAUUGCAGCAGGGGACAUCCGACGGCGCCUUUCAGAACAACUGGCUCACACUCCCACAGCCUUUAAACGAGACCCUGAAGACCCUUCUGCAGUUGCCCUCAAAGAGCCCUGGCAGGAGAAAGUGCGGAGGAUCAGAGAAGGCUCCCCGUAUGGUCAUCUUCCCAAUUGGCGGCUCCUGUCAGUCAUUGUCAAGUGUGGAGAUGACCUUCGGCAGGAGCUGCUGGCUUUCCAGGUGUUGAAGCAACUGCAGUCGAUUUGGGAGCAGGAACGAGUGCCUCUUUGGAUCAAGCCAUAUAAGAUUCUUGUGAUUUCAGCCGACAGUGGCAUGAUUGAACCAGUAGUCAAUGCUGUGUCCAUCCAUCAGGUGAAGAAACAGUCACAGCUCUCCUUGCUCGAUUACUUCCUACAGGAGCAUGGCAGUUACACCACUGAGGCAUUCCUCAGUGCCCAGCGCAAUUUUGUGCAAAGUUGUGCUGGCUACUGCUUGGUCUGCUAUCUAUUGCAAGUCAAGGACAGGCACAAUGGGAACAUUCUUCUCGACGCAGAAGGUCACAUCAUCCACAUCGACUUUGGCUUCAUCCUCUCCAGCUCACCCCGAAACCUGGGCUUCGAGACAUCAGCCUUUAAGCUGACCACUGAGUUUGUGGAUGUAAUGGGCGGCCUCAACGGAGACAUGUUCAACUACUACAAGAUGCUCAUGCUGCAGGGGCUGAUUGCUGCUCGGAAGCAUAUGGACAAGGUGGUGCAGAUUGUGGAGAUCAUGCAGCAAGGUGCGGCUGGGGAGCCCAGGGCCUGGACUGCCCUCAGGUUGAGUUGCCUGGAACUUAGAAUUUUAGGAAGUUGAUCCCACCUCAAGACUCAGGUGGGGGAGGGCUUCUCAGGGGGGUUCCAUUUCCCCUUUAGAACACUCUUCUUCACCCUAGCAGAAGGGUGGGGGAGGGGGAUGCAAGAGGAAAGGAACAGCAGAAAGCUCUUAGGUACCCUCAUAGAGAAAACACCCAUCUUCGGCCUCCUGGUAUUUCCAGUCUUCCUCAUUCAACUGUUUUUCUCUGUCUCCUUCUCUGCUAAAUCUGGUGCUUCUACCCACUGUCCUCCCAUCACACUUGACAUAACUGCCCUGGCCUCAGCCACCACUUCAAGCUACCUUCCUUUUCUUAAUAACCUAUCCUGCUCUGAACUGAGUUCCUCCUGAUUCUCGUCUUUUACUGUUCACUCUGCUGCUUCCCCAGUCCCUCAGUCAUUUUCAUAGGAUCCCUUAUCCCAAUUCCUCUGGGCCCCCUCUUAUCCCCCCCCCCAUAAAAACCCUUUCAGAUAUGUACCCCACCUAAGCUGCCAGUCUCCUCCCCAUCCUUGCCCAUAACCCACAGGUUGCCGCCGUUGCUCAGGAGCAUCUCUGUCUGGCCCCGUGGUGACGGUGGCCCAGGUCAUCUGUUCACAGCUUCCUUGCUUCCAUGGCUCCAGCACCAUUCGCAAUCUCAAAGAGAGAUUCCACAUGAGCAUGACUGAGGAGCAGCUCCAGCUGCUGGUGGAGCAGAUGGUGGAUGGCAGCAUGAGGUCCAUCACCACCAAACUCUACGACGGCUUCCAGUACCUCACCAAUGGCAUCAUGUGAUACCCUUCUCAGGCCCAGAAGUGGUGGGAUCGAAGGCACCCUUCCUAGGA
Microtus ochrogaster (prairie vole) is the source of this 3264-nucleotide RNA transcript. It is a transcript of the gene named phosphatidylinositol 4-kinase beta, with no coding region annotated. The transcript has 12 exons. NCBI's taxonomy places the organism in Eukaryota, Metazoa, Chordata, Mammalia, Rodentia, Cricetidae. The record is from RefSeq and is a predicted model, not a curated record.